RNAcentral lists this ribosomal RNA (439 nucleotides) under uncultured bacterium. RNAcentral's name for it is "partial 16S ribosomal RNA". It matches the Rfam family "Bacterial small subunit ribosomal RNA", at positions 339 to 795 of the family's 1533-position model. The record is from RNAcentral.
CUACGGGUCGCACCAGUGGGGAAUAUUGCACAAUGGGGGAAACCCUGAUGCAGCAACGCCGCGUGGAGGAUGACGCAUUUCGGUGUGUAAACUCCUUUUAUAUAGAAAGAACAUGACGGUACUAUAUGAAUAAGCACCGGCUAACUCCGUGCCAGCAGCCGCGGUAAUACGGAGGGUGCAAGCGAUACUCGGAAUCACUGGGCGUAAAGGAUGCGUAGGCGGAUUAAUAGGUUGGGAGUGAAAUCCUAUGGCUCAGCCAUAGAACUGCUUUCAAAACUGUUAGUCUAGAAUGUGGGAGAGGUAGAUGGAAUUAGUGGUGUAGGGGUAAAAUCCGUAGAGAUCACUAGGAAUACCGAUUGCGAAGGCGAUCUACUGGAACACUAUUGACGCUGAGGCAUGAAAGCGUGAGGAGCAAACAGGAUUAGAUACCCUGGUAGUC